Molecule: unclassified non-coding RNA, 409 nt
Filed under: fungal sp.
Lineage: Eukaryota; Fungi
Description: partial internal transcribed spacer region
Rfam family: Eukaryotic small subunit ribosomal RNA (bases 1-46)
Source: RNAcentral
AAGUCGUAACAAGGUUUCCGUAGGUGAACCUGCGGAAGGAUCAUUAACACGUAUCCAACGUAAAACCCCCCUGUGAACCUUCAGACCUGUUCUCCUAGCCCAGUGCGAUCCAGCAAUCCCGGUAAAUCAUUGUUGAACAGUAUUGAUUCGGGACCUCUGACAAAUGAGAAGUUACAGUUAGGAUAUGAGCGGAGAUAGCUGCAUGGCAUCCCGAAGCAGUCAGUGUCUGAAAGUGUCAUUGAUUGUCUAAGGAUCUCGCUUCUACGGGGUGAUAAAGGGGCAUGGGGACCCGGUUGCAUGUCUGCUGGUCGGUGAGCGACCCUAAGCAAUCAAUAACUCUGUGACUCCACGGGAAACCAGUGGGGUAAAAAAACUCGAACAACUGUUAACAAUGGAUAUCUUGGUUCUC